GAAUAUUGGACAAUGGGCGCAUGCCUGAUCCAGCCAUACCGCGUGGGUGAAGAAGGCCUUCGGGUUGUAAAGCCCUUUUGUUGGGAAAGAAAUCCAGCCGGCUAAUACCUGGUUGGGAUGACGGUACCCAAAGAAUAAGCACCGGCUACCUUCGGUCCCGCCGCCGCGGUAAUACGAAGGGUGCAAGCGUCACUCGGAAUUACUGGGCGUAAAGCGUGCGUAGGUGGUUGUUUAAGUCUGUUGUGAAAGCCCUGGGCUCAACCUGGGAACUGCAGUGGAAACUGGACAACUAGAGUGUGGUAGAGGGUAGCGGAAUUCCCGGUGUAGCAGUGAAAUGCGUAGAGAUCGGGAGGAACAUCCAUGGCGAAGGCAGCUACCUGGACCAACACUGACACUGAGGCACGAAAGCGUGGGGAGCAAACAGG
This 425-nucleotide ribosomal RNA is filed under the name uncultured bacterium. RNAcentral describes it as "bacterial SSU rRNA". It matches the Rfam family "Bacterial small subunit ribosomal RNA", at positions 359 to 776 of the family's 1533-position model. The record is from RNAcentral.